AGCGAACGCUGGCGGCAGGCCUAACACAUGCAAGUCGAACGAACCUUUCGGGGUUAGUGGCGGAUGGGUGAGUAACACGUGGGAACGUGCCUUUAGGUUCGGAAUAACUCAGGGAAACUUGUGCUAAUACCGAAUGUGCCCUUCUGGGGAAAGAUUAAUCGCCUUUAGAGCGGCCCGCGUCUGAUUAGCUAGUUGGUUGAGGUAAUGGCUCACCAAGGCGACGAUCAGUAGCUGGUCUGAGAGGAUGAUCAGCCACAUUGGGACUGGGACACGGCCCAAACUCCUACGGGAGGCGGCAGUGGGGGAUCUUGCGAAAUGGGCGAAAGCAUGACGCAGCCAUGCCGCGUGAAUGAUGAAGGUCUUAGGAUUGUGAAAUUCUUUCACCGGGGACGAUAAUGACGGUACCCGGAGAAGAAGCCCCGGCUAACUUCGUG
Molecule: ribosomal RNA, 434 nt
Filed under: uncultured bacterium
Lineage: Bacteria
Description: partial 16S ribosomal RNA
Rfam family: Bacterial small subunit ribosomal RNA
Source: RNAcentral